This is a long non-coding RNA of Mauremys mutica (yellowpond turtle), 719 nucleotides long. RefSeq lists it as uncharacterized. Lineage: Eukaryota; Metazoa; Chordata; Testudines; Geoemydidae. The record is from RefSeq and is a predicted model, not a curated record. The transcript is spliced from 3 exons.
GGCAGGGCUGAUACAAAGUCAGGAAAUUGGCUGCAGUGGAAGUGGUCUGCUGUCACCCCCUGAGAGGAGGGAACUGUGUUUGGGGCUAUGGUACAUCCUGCAAGCCAGCCAGGAGUCUCCAAAGCUCCAGAGCUUCUACAGGGCACAGGAAGGGGACCUUCACUGGACAGGUUCUCAGACCUUCCUGCUAGGUUUCACUUGGGAGGCCCAGGACCCCCUAUUUUGCAAAUCCUAACAGGACCUUGAUGGAUGCUGAUGUCUCUGCCUUUCAUAUCAUUUUACCAGUGGAACCUUUGAUCUGUCAGCAGUCUUUAUAUCAAGUUAGUUGUCCCAUAAAAUGGAGAAUAUGACAAAAAUAUCUGUUGUGCUAAUGUAAAGUACUCCCACAAUAAAAAUGCUGCAUUAAGGAGCUCGCUUUAGCCAUAUGUGCUGUAAUAGUAGAACUGGGAAGGAAGAAAUUUUUUUUUAUAAGACUCUGGUAAAGGAACUUCUAAAGCAACAAGUACUGUACAUUAUGAUUCAGAACAGCAAGGGACAGCUGGAAAGAGCUGAUUGGCUACAGCCCAAUGAAACAGAGGCUUCCUGUGACCAGCUGCUGUGCUGCAGCAUGAAUGACAAGGGUAAUAAUUGAUUAGUAACUGGCAGCUCAAAAGGAAGAAAGAAUGAACAAGAACGAUGAGGUGCUUUACAGCUUGGUAACUGUAAAACCAGUAGAACAA